Molecule: ribosomal RNA, 258 nt
Filed under: uncultured prokaryote
Description: partial 16S ribosomal RNA
Rfam family: Bacterial small subunit ribosomal RNA
Source: RNAcentral
UACGUAGGGGCAAGCGUUGUCCGGAAUUAUUGGGCGUAAAGGGCGCGCAGGCGGCCUCUUAAGUCUGAUGUGAAAUCUUGUGGCUUAACCACAAGCGGUCAUUGGAAACUGAGAAGCUUGAGUGCAGAAGAGGAGAGUGGAAUUCCGCGUGUAGCGGUGAAAUGCGUAGAGAUGUGGAGGAACACCAGUGGCGAAGGCGACUCUCUGGUCUGUAACUGACGCUGAGGCGCGAAAGCGUGGGGAGCGAACAGGAUUAGA